UCAAUCUCACUGUGCAUCUCCAUGGCUUAAACUGUGCCAAGGUUAGCAUUCAAGUGUCUGAGUUCAUUCAACAACAAAAAGGCUUUCUCACUCAACCAUUCGUCGUACAAAUAGAAGAAAUCACACUGGUUGCUCUGUGAAAUCAACAAAAUAGUGUAGGAAAUAUGCAUUACACAUAAAUAAGCUUAAACAUAACACUGAAAUAACUAUCUUUCAAUCUUAUCCUUCUUCUACCACACUUCCAAUACCUCCUACCCAUGUUAUUUUUAGUUCGUGCAAUGAACAGUCUUGCUCGUUUACGACAAUCACAUGGGAAGAAGGAAACCUCGGCAACAACGUUGAUUGCUUCUUCAUAUGUAUUGGGUACUUGAUAGGAACUUAAGCAACCAAUCUUUU
RNAcentral lists this long non-coding RNA (396 nucleotides) under Ricinus communis (castor bean). RNAcentral describes it as "long non-coding RNA (RCOM_LNC002137)". Lineage: Eukaryota; Viridiplantae; Streptophyta; Magnoliopsida; Malpighiales; Euphorbiaceae. The record is from RNAcentral.